GACGAACGCUGGCGGCGUGCUUAACACAUGCAAGUCGAACGGAAAGGCCCUGCUUUUGUGGGGUGCUCGAGUGGCGAACGGGUGAGUAACACGUGAGUAACCUGCCCUUGACUUUGGGAUAACUUCAGGAAACUGGGGCUAAUACCGGAUAGGAGCUCCUGCUGCAUGGUGGGGGUUGGAAAGUUUCGGCGGUUGGGGAUGGACUCGCGGCUUAUCAGCUUGUUGGUGGGGUAGUGGCUUACCAAGGCUUUGACGGGUAGCCGGCCUGAGCGGGAGACCGGCCACAUUGGGACUGAGAUACGGCCCAGACUCCUACGGGAGGCAGCAGUGGGGAAUAUUGCACAAUGGGCGGAAGCCUGAUGCAGCAACGCCGCGUGCGGGAUGACGGCCUUCGGGUUGUAAACCGCUUUCGCCUGUGACGAAGCGUGAGUGACGGUAAUGGGUAAAGAAGCACCGGCUAACUACGUG
RNAcentral lists this ribosomal RNA (468 nucleotides) under uncultured bacterium. Its description in RNAcentral is "partial 16S ribosomal RNA". It matches the Rfam family "Bacterial small subunit ribosomal RNA", at positions 28 to 507 of the family's 1533-position model. The record is from RNAcentral.